This 450-nucleotide ribosomal RNA is filed under the name uncultured bacterium. Its description in RNAcentral is "partial 16S ribosomal RNA". It matches the Rfam family "Bacterial small subunit ribosomal RNA", at positions 338 to 795 of the family's 1533-position model. The record is from RNAcentral.
CCUACGGGCGGCUGCAGUGGGGAAUAUUGCGCAAUGGGCGAAAGCCUGACGCAGCCACGCCGCGUGAGCGAUGAAGGCCUUCGGGUCGUAAAGCUCUGUGGGGAGAGAAGAAUAAAGCCUGUGAAGAGCGGGCCUUGACGGUAUCUCCUUAGCAAGCACCGGCUAACUCCGUGCCAGCAGCCGCGGUAAUACGGAGGGUGCAAACGUUGCGGGGGAUCAUUGGGCGUAGACCGCGAGUUAGCGGCGGAGUGAAAGCCCCGGGCUCAACCCGGGAAGUGCAUUCAAAACUGUUUCGCUUGAAUCUCGGAGGGGGUCAGAGAAUUCCCGGUGUAGAGGUGAAAUUCGUAGAUAUCGGGAGGAAUACCAGUGGCGAAGGCGCUGACCUGGACGAAGAUUGACGCUGAGGUGCGAAAGCGCGGGGAGCAAACAGGAUUAGAUACCCCAGUAGUC